This 365-nucleotide ribosomal RNA is filed under the name uncultured Lachnospiraceae bacterium. RNAcentral's name for it is "bacterial SSU rRNA". It matches the Rfam family "Bacterial small subunit ribosomal RNA", at positions 355 to 736 of the family's 1533-position model. The record is from RNAcentral. Lineage: Bacteria; Bacillati; Bacillota; Clostridia; Lachnospirales; Lachnospiraceae.
UGGGGAAUAUUGCACAAUGGGGGGAAACCCUGAUGCAGCGACGCCGCGUGAGUGAGGAAGUAUUUCGGUAUGUAAAACUCUAUCAGCAGGGAAGAUAAUGACGGUACCUGACUAAGAAGCACCGGCUAAAUACGUGCCAGCAGCCGCGGUAAUACGUAUGGUGCAAGCGUUAUCCGGAUUUACUGGGUGUAAAGGGUGCGUAGGUGGUAUGGCAAGUCAGAAGUGAAAGGCUGGGGCUCAACCCCGGGACUGCUUUUGAAACUGUCAAACUAGAGUACAGGAGAGGAAAGCGGAAUUCCUAGUGUAGCGGUGAAAUGCGUAGAUAUUAGGAGGAACACCAGUGGCGAAGGCGGCUUUCUGGACUG